GGACCUUGGAGUGCGUGCAGCAGUAAGGGAAGCCAUGCUCCGUUUUAAGAAGUACCUUGAUCCAUGUGAUCUGUGCUUUGAAAAGAUACCGCUAACUGCUCUGAGAAAAACUGGGUUGGAGGGGCAUCGAAAGAGAAAGCCAAGAAACUAUUCGCCAGUUGAACAGUGGAAAAGGCAGUGGGAUAGACAGAGCUGAACACAAUUCCAAAUUCAUUUGUUUUUAACGCCACAGUCUGAAAACUAUGGAGAAAUGAAUGUUUCAGAACCCACUUUUCAGUUUAUAUUCCUACGGUGGCCCCUCCUCUUCUCAAAUAUCUAAAACGUACCAUGCAUUUCUAAUUAAUGCUUUUCGCCUUCCAGAUUUUGUUCCUAAGAGAAAUCCCCCUAUUUUAAUUGUAGUUCACAUUAUAAGUCAUGCACAUUUUUAAACUAGAUUGUCAUUUAUGGAGUUGCCACUCUUGUGGGUGAAAAUGGGUCAAGUGUUGGCCAUUUCAUGUGGUUCAACCAACAGAUUCAGAUGUUGACUCUUCUCAUUGAAACAUUCCUCUCCCCUCAAUGUGGUCUUCGGUAAGAAGACACUCUCCUUGUCUAUGGAUAAAUAAAUGAAGGAUCCAAAUGGCACUGCCGUGAUGAAAGAUGCAGUACGGCUGUUGCUUGGUCCUUAGACACAUAGAGCAUCCUUUCUGGAUAACCCAGGAUAAAGGGGGGAAUGAAAUGGCUACUUUAUUGAAAAAGCCCACCUUUCCACUGUAGUCAGUCAAAUGCUAUUAUCCUUUUAUUACUCUGUAAUUUUGAGGGCAAGUUCAGUGAAUAACUGUAGAGGCUAUUAAGAGCUGUCAUGGAAAAUGGAUCUGUCUUUAAAUGGAAGGUAGAAACAUUACUGCAAGAACAGCACUGCUUCCACGUAGCUAAUUCUCCUCUCCGAGCUCUUUAAAACGAUGUUUAUUGUUUCCCACUCCGUCUCCCCAGACCCUUCUCACCCGCAUAAUUGUGAUCCUGCCUUUUUUCCUCUCAUCAGGAAUAAAAUUUAUGGAAGACGCAUGGCCCCUGAGAACCAAUCCCGUUUUGUGUUAGUUUCGCGUUAGUGUCUACACUAAUAGUACACAACGAAGGUCAACAGUAACUUCCAGAAAACAGGAUUAAAUCCACCCUGCUCUCUAAAGGGUAGAGGUUCCAGAGAGGGCUUCUGCCAUUCCUCUUCUCUUCUGGCUUCUCCUGGGCUGAUGAGAGGGAGACUGUGGCUGGUGGAGGCCGUGGUAAUGAUAGAAAGAACUGGGGAUUUCAGAAUAUCUCUGUUCUAUUUUUCAAUGGGUUCCGCAACGAAUUACCGCACAUGUAGAAUCUUAAAACAACAGAAACUUGUGCUGUCACAGUUCUGGGUGCCAGAAAUCCAAAAUCAAGGUGUCUCCAGGGACAUGCUCCCUCCAAGGCUCUAGGGGACAAGCUCUCCUUCUUUCUUCCAGCUUCCAGUGGCUCCAGGUGGGGCUUGGCACAUGACUGCUUCAACUCCCUUGUUUUCCUUCCUGAGUCUCAGUGGGUCCUUUUCUGCCUCUUCAUACAACAUCCUCAUUGGAUUUGGCGUUUACUAUAAUGGAGGAUUUUCUUAACUUCAUCCCUAACUUAAUUUCAUCUGCAAAACCCCUAUUUCCGAAUAAGGUCUCGUCCUGAGGUUUCUGGUGAACCUGAACUGGUGGUGGUGGUGAUGAUGAUGGGGACGCAGCUUCUUCCCUGAUGUAGUCAUGGACUCAGAACACAAAGCUAAGACAUGCGGGUUGGCAGUUUUAUUGUCUCAUCCCAGCAUUAUCAGCUUUUAUCAACAAUAGGACUAACCUAUUCUCAAUGCUUUCCCUCUAAGAAUAAAAUGGAGUAAAGAGAAUUAAUUCACACGAUUGUCAGAAGAUCAAAUUACCAAAAAAUCUCUCUACAUGUUUAGUAAGAGAAGAGAAUUCAGCAAGGAAGAAUUUUUAUCUAAUUGUAAAAUGAUACAUUUGCUCAAUGGAACUCGUGUGAUGGAGACAUUGAAAGAAAUUCAUCUCCAUAUGUAAUUCACUUUUAUGACUUUUUCCCUUAACUGGGGUUGGUGUAUUGGUUCUUAGGCCUAGAAUUAGGUUCUAGCUUGAGGAAUAUUUGCCUUUUCUAUAUUUGUGUCAAGUUCUCUUCUUUCAGUUUAUUUCUAUUAUCGAUUUUUGUUCUGUCUCAGUUCUGGUAACCAUGGUCCUAUUUGGUUUUUACCGUGGAACAAGAACUCUGCCAGAUUCCUAUCCAUUAUUUACUUAUUGGCCACUCCUAGGAUACGUGGAAAUUCCUGCAUCAGGGAUGGAAACUGAGCCACAGCAGUGACAAUGCCAGACCCUUAACCCACUAGGCCACCAGGGAACUCCUCCCAUCCAUUAUUUUAUGUAGUCUGCAUGACAACAACCCUUUGGAGUAGGUGUAAUUACCCCUAUUUAUCAGAUGAUGGAACCGAAGGGUAAAUGACUUGCUCAAGGAUAUGUAGGGUAUCAGCAAAAGAACUGGUUUUCCAAUCCAAGUCGGCCUGGUUCCAGGGUAUAAGCUUUUGACCACUGCCCAGGGCUUCUCUGGAGAAUGUCCACCUUGAGUUUCAGAGGAGGUCUGUAUUUAUCUGCUAUUAACCCAGUGUCACCUGGAGGCUAUGUUCCUGUCCCAAGUUGUCUUGUUGGACCUCACUGUGUGUUUCCAGGGAGCUCACUCAGGAAGAGGGCUUCAGUUCUAUCAUACAGAGGUCGCGUUGUAUCUCCAGAUACCUGGCUGGCAGCUUCAAGCACUGGCAGCUGACAUUGAGUGACAGGCAGAGAUUAUUUGCCUUUGGGACAUCUUUCCCUUUUCGUCUUCUUCUGGAAGCUGUAUUUGUUUGAAGGAAGACUUAGCUCAGCAAGCAGGGCAGAUAGAGCAUCUUGCCAAGCUUGUGGGUGAUUGUCUCACACUCAGAUAACAUCUCAGAGCUGCCUUCCUGGCCACUGUAAAGAACGCAGCCGCCAGCUCCCCCUGCCCCGCCACCUCCUCCCACCCUCCCGCCCCUGCAUCACUCCUAUCUGCUUAGUCUGCUCCAUUUCUCCUCAUUGACUUUGGCACUACUCGAUACAUUUCACAUGCUCGUUCAUCCCUGUAUUCUCUGCCCAUCGCCAGACUGUAAGCUUCAUGAGAGUGAGAACUCUGCCUUUUCACCUCCUUCUUUCCAGUAUGUAGGAAAGGGCUUGGCACAGAUUCGCCAGGACUGUGUGAAUGAGUGGGUGAGCAAGUGAAUGAAGGGGUUAACGAGCUUGCCAUCACCACCAUUAAAUUCUUACCUACUUACCGUCUUCUUUUGCCGAUUUGGAGGAAAUUAGAGGACGUCAUGAGCCCUAAACACUGACAAAAUGUUGGUAUUAACUCAUCUAUUGGGCAGCAGUAUUCUCACCUGUUACAAUGACGUGGGCUGAAGGUCAUGAUGACUGUUGGGUGGGAUUCAACAAGAGAGCGAAAGUAGUUGGAAGACUGAGUGGGGAAGUAUGUUGCAAACAGCAGUUGUUAGAUAUAAAUAUAUGCUGCUUAUAAGAAGUAUAUUUAUGCUGCCAUACAUAUAUGUCCACACACACGUAUAUAUAUACUGUUUGUAAUAUAUAUUAAAUAUACAUGUUAUAAAAUAUAUAUUUAUCUUUUAAUUUCUUAUUUUCCCCUUUAUUAAAGGAAAACCAGUACAGAAGUAGUGUCAAAUUAUUUGUGUAUUAAUACAUGUCAACUCUUAGAAAAAAAAAUUGGGGAAAAAAUGUUAGACCCAUUAGAUAAAGUCCAGGCUGGGAAUAUUUACUUAAAUGCAAUUAUUGAUUCCUAUAAAACAUGAGCCUGUACGUGAUUUUAUUGAGAAAAAGACCAAACAAAGAAGGGUACCUCUUGCUGCUUGCUGUUAGUGGAUAUCAAGAGUCCAAGAGGCUGUGGAAUUCUAGUGGGAGACUGAACAUCAUGGUAGGAGAUGCAGACAUUUCUUUUCUCCCCCUAAUGCCUGAGUCUCUUGGUAGGGGAUGUGCUAAAUUUAAGGAGAGACUGGGAAGUGAGGAACGCAGGGGAAAAGUAGGACUUCUUUGGUUGAGAAGAGAGAGGAGGCAGGAGAGGAAAAUUCUAUUUUUUUUUUUUUUCUUUUUCCUUUGACUAGAAGGCUUCACUUUCCAAAUUGCCUUACACGAUUGAGUGGAGAUUAUUGAUAACCAGUUCUGAAAGCAGUAAUAGAGAAGGAGGGCGAAAGCAUGGGGGGUGGCCCGUGGAAGCCAAAAGAGGCAUUUACUUAGAGCUCAGCGCGGAGUCUCUGCUGCUGGUGAAUUUCUGUUCCAUUACGACUUCCUCCUUUUCAGUAAUGGAACUUAUAGAGACAAUGAAAAAGGUAAUAGAGCCAUCCAUAUCGUAUAUUCUGGAAACCCAGCUGAGGUGCUAAAGUAGUUCCUAAGGCUUACAAAGCACAUCAGAAUGGAUCAAGUUCACUGCCUUUCUGGGCGGUCUGGCAGGGAGUGGGGAGACACUGCCUGUGUGUUGAAGAACAGCUUAGGAACUUUGUGUGGCAUGCACACCCUUCACGUUUCUGGGAGGUGGGGGGGUGGGAAACCUGCUAAGCCAUUACUUACUAAUUUUUCCAUUAAAGUGAUCUUUCUGUGCCAUCUUGCAGUGAUAUGUGUUCAAAACAUGUUCUUAAAAAAUAACGUUUUAUUAGCUAACAUUUGGAACUUUUUUGUGUGCUUUAUUUUGACGGCUGUGGUUUGGGGGUUUUGUUUGCUUUUCUUUAUUUAAAGGUAGGGGUGCUAGUUCUCUUUGUCCUCUUCUUGUGCCUGUUGCAUGUGUCACUCAGGUCACACUCUUUUUAUGUAUUACUUCCAUGUACACCCUGUGGAAAGUCACCAGAACAUUGAACAUCACACUUCUCUGAGUCUCCUUGAAUUCAUUUUGUGAUUCCUUAGGUAAAAACUACGUCUCCUUUCUUCUGGGGGCAGGGCUCUGCUUUAUUACGGGUGGUGGGUUUGGUGAUUGAGGAUGAACUUGUACCAGCUUUCUUUUCUAUGUGCUGCAUCACCAAGUUUAUAAUAAUAUGGGCAAAUCGGGGUUCAUCUUAGUGCAGUGCCAAUAGAUGAGAAAUAAUUGAUCUCAGUAGAUAGCAGCAUAAUUUGGGAACAUCAGGGGCAUGGGAUGUUACGGAGAGACCAUCGGUUCCUUCAGCUCUAAAAACUAUCUUCUAAGCUAUGACUUCAGUAUUAAUUGAACUUGUCCUUUUUUCAGGGACAUAGUAGAAAGAUUUUAAAUGAUACAAUUACAACCAGUGUCACUCCAUAUAACGAAUGCCUCGCUACAUCAGAUUGAUUGUGAGUCGUGAUGACAAAUGCCAGCUACCUUCCGUCACUAGAGAUCUAGACAGUAUUUCUCAAGUGUGCUUUGGCUUUCAGAAAUAUAAAUCCAUUGCUGGAUUCUGCACUGAUGUGAACGUCUUACAGAGGAACCAUUUCUUUGCCCACGGCAGGUUUUUAAUUUGAUCUCAGUUUCAGAGAGAAAGAUGAACACACAUGCAUAUGUUAUGUAUUUGUUUUCCUUCAGAAGGAAACAUUUAAGAAUAAUUUAGUUUGCACCUCUUCUCAUCUCUCUGAAUCUCAACUUUCUUGUGAUUCUACCAUCCACUGAAGUGGGUUUUCAUUUCUUGGGUUUCUUUUUCGUAGCUUUUAGGCUUAAUGGCUUAUAUUAAAAGGCACUUAUGUUGCUAUAGGCUAGCAUGUUUCAUUGGCUGCAUUCACUCUGGCAGAAGAGUUAUAGCAGAUUCUUUAAUACAUAUAUUUUUCUUUUUUCCUAUAGAUGGACCCUCAUAGUGUUUUGACAGUUGAAAAGGAUAGGGGCUUAUUGAGCAUCUAGUUUCUCAGCUGCUCAGCUGUAUUUUUUGAGCUAUAUAUCAGCAAAAUUACCCAGCUCUCAUACAGGAGGUGUUCUUUUGCCAGAUGGUACUCUGCAGGAAACAGCAUCUUAGUUUUCUUAAAUCAGGAUUUAUAGUAAAAUAGAAUAACACUUAGAUAUGGAAGACUUAGGUUUCCUGGAUAUCUUGAGAGUCUCAAAUAUUCGUCCUUUCCCUGUCUUCAUUGCUUCCUAUUCAAUUAAGCUGAUAACAGAAUGUCUACACUGCUGUUCAAUAACUGAAGGGCACAUGCGUAGCAAUUUUCAUCGUCCUGCCUGCCCUGAGACCCAGUGGAGAGGUUCAGCUCCAAUUGCACCAUUAGCCCGGCAACUGCAGCCAAUCGUUACCAAUGAUUUUUGGUCCUCCUAAUUGUUUUUUACUUUAUCGAGCUUAUUCAGAAAUAAUGAAACUCCAUCCUUCCUUUUCUUAAAAGAUAUUUGCACAAAGUGCAGUUGCUGUUUCUUUUAUAAACUCAUCAGCAUUGCCUUAAGGAGUGCCCUUAACUAUCGAUUUUCUAGUCUAGCGAAUAGAUCUCCUAAUUCACAGAAAUACUCCAAUGCAAGAGUUUAACAAUUGGAAAAUUACAAAAGGAAGUCCCAGGGCCCUUCCAGGUUCUGCGCAGACUGAUGGUUCAGCAUCAGUCUCCCUGCUGGAAGGAGGAGACUCGGCAGGGAAAGAUACAAAUGUAAAUAAGUGCGCAGUUCCGCCUAUUUUCCAAAUUCUGCAGCUAUUUCAAAGGCCUGUCUUCUCACUUGGUUUAAAGAUAGCGCUAUUCAACAACCAUGCUGAACCAUUGUUUACAUAAAGUAUUNNNNNNNNNNNNNNNNNAGGGUACGACAAGAUCAGAGGCAUCUUGGGAACUCAGGGGCAAAGAUUCAAUCCCCACUCCGGCACAGUUGGUUAAGGAUCCCGUGUUGCCUUACUUGUGGCUUAGGUGGCAGCUGCAGCUCAGAUCUGAUCCCUAGCUGGGAAACUCCGUAGGCUGCGGGGUGGCCAAAAAAAAAAAAA
Molecule: long non-coding RNA, 6925 nt
Filed under: Sus scrofa (pig)
Lineage: Eukaryota; Metazoa; Chordata; Mammalia; Artiodactyla; Suidae
Description: lncRNA (ENSSSCG00005024627.1)
Source: RNAcentral